This 4008-nucleotide long non-coding RNA is filed under the name Homo sapiens (human). Its description in RNAcentral is "HSALNT0351883". The record is from RNAcentral. Lineage: Eukaryota; Metazoa; Chordata; Mammalia; Primates; Hominidae.
GAGGGGUAGAAUUUAGCGAGGGAGAGAGACUUUGGCUCAAUUAAGUAAAAAGUUAGAUGGGCUCAGUUUUCUUGGGCAAGUCUGGCCUGUUGUGCAAAGCACCCGCACUCCCUGACUCUUCCCCAAACACAAGAGCUAAGGUGGGUGUUCUGUUCCUCCCACUUCUGCCUCCAAAUGACCUGGAGGGAAUUUGUGUCCCAGCUGUUCCCUUCCCUGCCACCUUUGCUCCAGGUGGGAGGAUCACCUGAGUGAGCCUGAGGAGGUCAAGGCUGCGGUGAACCAUGAUCACACCACUGCACUCUAGCCUGGGCAACAGAGUGAGAUCCCGUUUCAAAAAGAAAAAAAUCUGAAUAAACUAUGGACUUUAGUUAAUAAUGUGCCAGUACUAGUUUAUGAAUUUUUACAAAUGUACACUGAUAGCAUAAGAUGUUAAUAACACAGAAACUCGGGGGUGGCAAGGGUGAUAUGGGAACUCUAGUAAUCAUCUGUCUGCUCAAUUUUUCUGCAUAUUUAAAACUUCUAAAAAUUAAGUAGAUUUAAAGAAAAAAGUACUAACUUCUCAGGUGACAUAUGGAUAUAGCAAAAAUUCUAAGAUGCUGAGUAAGUGAAGUUGGGGAAGUGUGCUCCGGGGUCUGAGGUCCCUAAGCUGACAGUCCAGUGAUCCAUGGGGACGGCCUGUUUCUGUUGUCUUCACAGAGCAGGCAGGAGUGGAAUUAUAGCCCGAUUGAGCCCUUCAGCCCUAUAUCUGGAACUGUCACAGGAACAAGCUGACCCAACAAGAUGGCCCCAGGAUUCUCCUGUCUCCUUCAGAGGAAACAGUGCUGGGCCUGGCCAGCUGGGAGCCCCAGUAUAUGCCCAGACUAAGGAAAGGCUUCCAAAAGUGCCUUUUUUAAAAUAUAGAACUUUAUUUUGGUUACUGAGGUUUUUGUUACUGUUGGUUCACAGAAAAGUCAUUUCUUAGAAAAUAGUAACGGCAGCAUUUUUUACAGCGACUCACAUUGGGGCCACCAAACAAGUGCAAAGGACAGUGCCAGGGAUAGAAGAGGCCAGUACUCUUGUGCCCAGUGUUCUCAGGGAGAACCCAGUGCUCCUGGCUCCCUCUACCCCCUCCCAUCCCACCCAACAGAGCAGCACCUAGGGCCAAUAGAACCAGCCACGCAGCCAAGUGCACGACAGUGACCCCAGCAGGCUGGUGAAGGCCCCACAGGAAAGGCCGAGUGGGAGGGGAUUGUUCAGGUUGAGCUGGCCCUGCAUCCAGCCCUCUUCCUCAGGCAGUGGGGUCUGACCUCACCUGGCUUUGGGACUUGGACAUAUUCACAGUACGGUUCAGUAAAGUCCUCUGGGAGCUGGCCUUCCUCUCCUCACUCAGGCCACUAAUCCUACCCCAACCCCAGGCUGGAUCUGGGGACACACAGUCAGAAGUGGCCCUACCUACGGGGAGCACACAGGUGAGUGGGGGGUCAGGCAAUGGACCCAGAUAGCUCCAGGACAAGGCAGAAAGUGCUCAGUACCCUGAGAGGGAGCAGAGAAAGGCCACUGAGGCCCAGAGGGGGAAAGAGGGCAGGGAGAGCUAUGUGGAGGUGGCAGUGUCUCGGCUAAACCUUGAGGAACGAGGACACGGAGAUGGGGGAGAAGGGCAUGCCGGGAGGAGGAAAGAGCAUGAGCCAAGGCACAGAGUGGGGAGGCUUGGGAGGGUCAGUAAAGACCAGCGCUCAUCCAUGAGAACACAGAUGCGAACGAGAGGCCCAGGUACCCUCAUCUGAACAGGCUGAUGCUCAGGAGGGGCGGCUGGUGUGGGCACGCUCACAUGGGGUUUGAAUCCUUCUGCAUUUGGGAGCUCUCUGGGGAUGGAGUAGAGCCUUGUGCAUCCCUGCCCACCCAGCCUAGCAUCUGCCUGCACGCUGCAGCCCCACCUGUUUCAGCAUGUCCCUCUUGUCAUCCCUGGGGCAGCCUUUCCAUGGGGUCUCCUGUUGCUCCCAGGUCCUUCCUUCCUCCCAGGUCCAUGUCCAAGUCCUCAAGUCAACCAAACUCAACUCCUCCAGCCUCCAGAGACAGCUGGGAGGGUGUGGUGGGGUCCCUGGAGGGAUUGAGAGGGAGACAGCUCUAGCAAAGGGGAAAAUUCUGGAGCAGUUGUCUCUCUCCACCUCACUAGAAUCACUUCCCGCCAUCAGAAGUAAAUCUGCUCUUUCCUGAGAAGAGUCUGGGUUUGGUGUGUGUAAAACACAGUUCCUUAGAACUCAGAGAAAAUCCUGACCAAAAGCUUCAGCAUUUGAGCUUCCCCCGCUCUUCACAAUCUUUAUAGACUUCGAGUGACUGGAAACCCACCAGCUUCUAUCCCUUCUCCCUGAAAAACAUUGCCCACUUUCUUCUUGCUAUGGGCUGUGGAGCUGAAGUGUUCUGGAGGUACCGUGUUUUGGAGGCCCGGGACCCAUUUGUUCGAGGGGGAGGGGGAGGGGCGGAGUCUUUUCAGGCAGUAUUUCCACCUUAGCUCCUCUGAGCACCCAUCCAGGCUUGGCCCUGAAGCAGGUCUGUGUCCUCACAGGAUGGUGCAGAAGACACUGCGGUUGCUGUGGUAACCACCUUCCACCCGGGCUGUGAUCCUCGUUGCCAUGGCUGUCACCUUCUGCCCAUUGUGGGCUGCCGAGGGACGUCUGAGAGAAUUUUCAAGGUGGGGCCGUGCUGGUGGGUUCACCAGGCGCCACGUAUCAGACCUGGAGGUGCAAAACGAAAGUCAGUGAACUUCUGAGGGGUGUGCAGUGCUGGCUGAAUGCCCUGCACAGUCUUAACUUGGGUUCCAGAUCGGUGGAUCCAGGUGUUUAAAUCUGGGUGUAGGUUUUAUCUUCCAGUUUAGUGUUAGUCCAAAGAGGUGGGCUGUUGAGAAACUAAGGAGCAAAAGCCCUGCAUUCCACGUCCAGCUCUGCCUUCAACUCUGCAUGUAGCCUUGGACAAGGUCCCUCUGUAGGCCUCAAUUUUCCCGCUUUGAGACACUCUGUUGCCCAGGCUGGGGUGCAGUGGCACGAUCAUGGCUCACUGCAGCCUCAACCUCCUGGGCUCAAGUGAUCCUCCCACCUCAGCCUCCCAAAGUGCUGGGAUUAUAGGCUUGAGCCACUGCAUCCAGCCGACUUCUCCACUUUAAAUAAGGAUCUGGAUAAGAUCAUAGGGUGGUUGUUGUGAGACAGGGUCUCAUUAUGUUGCCCAAGCCGGUCUUAAACUCCUGGGCUCAAGUGAUCCUCCUGCCUCAGCUUCCCAAGUAGCUGGGAUUAUAGGUGUGUGCCACGGUGCCAGCUUUUCCUCUUUCAUUUCUUUUCAGCUCUAUGACCACAAAUGUUUAUAGAAGCUUUAUUCAUAAUCACCAAAAACUAGAAACUACCUAAAUACGCUUCAGCUGAUGAGUGAAUAAACUGUGCAGUACACCCAUACAGGGGAAGACUACUCAGCAAUUGAAAGGAAUGAACGCCUUACAUGCAACACCAUGAAUGAAUCUCCAGCAUGUUAGGCUAAGUGAAAGAAGCCAGACUCAAAAGACUACAUACUGCAGGAUUUCUGGGUUUUUUUUGUUUUUACUUUUAUUUUUUAAUAUAUAUAUAUAUUUUUUCCGAGACGGAGUCUUGCUCUGUUACCCAGGCUGGAGUGCAGUAGUGUGAUCUGGGUUCACUGCAACCUCUUCCUCCCAGGUUCGAGUGAUCCUCCUGGCUCAGCCUCCCGAGUAGCUGGGACUACAGUUGCGUGCCAUGAUGCCCAGCUAAUUUUUGUAUUUUUAGUAGAGAUGGGGUUUCACCAUGUUGGCCAGGCUGGUCUCGAAAUCCCGACCUCAGGUGAUCCACCCACCUCGGCCUCCCAAAGUGCUGGGAUUACAGGCGUGAGCCACCGCACCCGGCCACGAUUUCUUUUAUAUGACAUUUGGGAAAAUGCAAAUCUAUGGGGGAUAGAAGUUGGUGGGUUUCCAGUCACCCAAACUCUUGUAGAGAGCAUGGAGGGCCAGGGAAAAUAAAAUGAUAGUGAAGCUGU